GACGAACGCUGGCGGCGUGCUUAACACAUGCAAGUCGAACGGAAAGGCCCUGCUUUUGUGGGGUGCUCGAGUGGCGAACGGGUGAGUAACACGUGAGUAACCUGCCCUUGACUUUGGGGUAACUUCAGGAAACUGGGGCUAAUACCGGAUAGGAGCUCCUGCUGCAUGGUGGGGGUUGGAAAGUUUCAGCGGUUGGGGAUGGACUCGCGGCUUAUCAGCUUGUUGGUGGGGUAGUGGCUUACCAAGGCUUUGACGGGUAGCCGGCCUGAGAGGGUGACCGGCCACAUUGGGACUGAGAUACGGCCCAGACUCCUACGGGAGGCAGCAGUGGGGAAUAUUGCACAAUGGGCGGAAGCCUGAUGCAGCAACGCCGCGUGCGGGAUGACGGCCUUCGGGUUGUAAACCGCUUUCGCCUGUGACGAAGCGUGAGUGACGGUAAUGGGUAAAGAAGCACCGGCUAACUACGUG
This 468-nucleotide ribosomal RNA is filed under the name uncultured bacterium. RNAcentral's name for it is "partial 16S ribosomal RNA". It matches the Rfam family "Bacterial small subunit ribosomal RNA", at positions 28 to 507 of the family's 1533-position model. The record is from RNAcentral.